RNAcentral lists this long non-coding RNA (969 nucleotides) under Fukomys damarensis (Damara mole-rat). RNAcentral's name for it is "lncRNA (ENSFDAG00000031295.1)". Lineage: Eukaryota; Metazoa; Chordata; Mammalia; Rodentia; Bathyergidae. The record is from RNAcentral.
CUCUGUGCCUGCUGGGCUCGAACGCGGUCCUCUGCGGCCCUCCAGGCUCCGGUGCUCAGGCGUCUGGCCGUGCUCGGACGCCUCCUCCCCACUCUCGGUUCACAGCUCUCAGGCUUGCGGCCUACACCUCCGGCUCCCUGGUCUCCAGCUGCACGCAGCGAACCACAGAACUGUGGAGCUCUCACCUUCCGAGACGACGUGAGCCAAGUCCUAUCAGAAAUCUCAUGUCCGUGGUGUAUGGAGAAACACAAGUUCCACAGCUGUAGAGAAUCAGUGGCCAAUGGGAUGGCCUUAGCAGAAGGAGGUUACCUGCUCAUCCAGAAGACACAGGAAACUUCCUGUUGUGAGAUCAGUGAAGGUCAAGGGAGAACCAGUGUGGACCUAUGUAGUCUACUGUCACUGAGACCAUGACAGGGGCACGAAGAGUGAACUUCAACUCCAAAGUGCUUCUCUUUCCUUCUGCUAAAGGGCUAUAUCCUUGUUUUUCAAUUUAUCUCUAAAGGGAUUUAUAUCUAGAAUUCGAUAAACUAACUCUUCAGGUUCUUCUGGAUCUUUGAGUGUUUCAGGGUUUAGAAAUGAGCAAUGAAUAACAGUUUAUUUGGGACAUGAAAGUUCCUCUUGGUAAAUUGUUAUACAUUAUUAGUUUGUUUGGUUUCUUUUCUGAUUAUCUUUUUUCUUUCUUAUUUUAAAAUCGCCAUCUCCAAAAUGCAAAACCUGAUCAAAUGAUUUCUAUCAUCAUCUUAUUAUCAUUACUAUUCUCUAACAUCACUCAAGAGUUCUGACAACAUGCUGUCGUGGCCAGGUAACUAUUUCUACAUAAAAUGUGAGUGACCUGAAAUGAGGAGACCAAAGGAGGAAUUUCAUCUAUCACCGAAUCUUUUCACUUCGUGUAUAUUCAGGUAACACAAAGCAGAAGCAGAGACAAAAAUAAAUUCGAAAUUUGAUUAAUUUCUAAAGCUCUCUACUGUC